GAUGAACGCUGGCGGCGUGCCUAAUACAUGCAAGUCGAGCGAACAGACGAGGAGCUUGCUCCUCUGACGUUAGCGGCGGACGGGUGAGUAACACGUGGAUAACCUACCUAUAAGACUGGGAUAACUUCGGGAAACCGGAGCUAAUACCGGAUAACAUGUUGAACCGCAUGGUUCAACAGUGAAAGACGGUCUUACUGUCACUUAUAGAUGGAUCCGCGCCGCAUUAGCUAGUUGGUAAGGUAACGGCUUACCAAGGCAACGAUGCGUAGCCGACCUGAGAGGGUGAUCGGCCACACUGGAACUGAGACACGGUCCAGACUCCUACGGGAGGCAGCAGUAGGGAAUCUUCCGCAAUGGGCGAAAGCCUGACGGAGCAACGCCGCGUGAGUGAUGAAGGUCUUCGGAUCGUAAAACUCUGUUAUUAGGGAAGAACAAAUGUGUAAGUAACUAUGCACGUCUUGACGGAACCUAAUCAGAAAGCCACGGCUAACUACGUG
Molecule: ribosomal RNA, 497 nt
Filed under: uncultured bacterium
Lineage: Bacteria
Description: partial 16S ribosomal RNA
Rfam family: Bacterial small subunit ribosomal RNA
Source: RNAcentral